UACGGAGGUGGCAAGCGUUAUCCGGAUUUAUUGGGCGUAAAGGGAACGCAGGCGGUCUUUUAAGUCUGAUGUGAAAGCCUUCGGCUUAACCGGAGUAGUGCAUUGGAAACUGGGAGACUUGAGUGCAGAAGAGGAGAGUGGAACUCCAUGUGUAGCGGUGAAAUGCGUAGAUAUAUGGAAGAACACCAGUGGCGAAAGCGGCUCUCUGGUCUGUAACUGACGCUGAGGUUCGAAAGCGUGGGUAGCAAACAGG
Molecule: ribosomal RNA, 253 nt
Filed under: uncultured bacterium
Lineage: Bacteria
Description: partial 16S ribosomal RNA
Rfam family: Bacterial small subunit ribosomal RNA
Source: RNAcentral